GCUGCACACUAUUAAAGCUCAGGGUGAAGGCCAGCCUUGGCCAGUGAACCUCUUGAGUGUCGGAAGUGUGCUACAUUAAAGGCAGGAUUUUCGCUAACACCAGUAGAGCUUGCCUCUAUGACUGGAGUUUGAUAGUACUCUCUGCCACAUAC
Molecule: small nucleolar RNA, 152 nt
Organism: Nycticebus coucang (slow loris)
Lineage: Eukaryota; Metazoa; Chordata; Mammalia; Primates; Lorisidae
Source: RefSeq, a predicted model, not a curated record